GACGAACGCUGGCGGCGUGCUUAACACAUGCAAGUCGAACGGAAAGGCCCUGCUUUUGUGGGGUGCUCGAGUGGCGAACGGGUGAGUAACACGUGAGUAACCUGCCCUUGACUUUGGGAUAACUUCAGGAAACUGGGGCUAAUACCGGAUAGGAGCUCCUGCUGCAUGGUGGGGGUUGGAAAGUUUCGGCGGUUGGGGAUGGACUCGCGGCUUAUCAGCUUGUUGGUGGGGUAGUGGCUUACCAAGGCUUUGACGGGUAGCCGGCCUGAGAGGGUGACCGGCCACAUGGGGACUGAGAGAGGGCCCAGACUCCUACGGGAGGCAGCAGUGGGGAAUAUUGCACAAUGGGCGGAAGCCUGAUGCAGCAACGCCGCGUGCGGGAUGACGGCCUUCGGGUUGUAAACCGCUUUCGCCUGUGACGAAGCGUGAGUGACGGUAAUGGGUAAAGAAGCACCGGCUAACUACGUG
Molecule: ribosomal RNA, 468 nt
Filed under: uncultured bacterium
Lineage: Bacteria
Description: partial 16S ribosomal RNA
Rfam family: Bacterial small subunit ribosomal RNA
Source: RNAcentral